UUGCAGCUUCUGCUCUGUGAAUUCUAUAAAGGUAAUUAACGGGAAGAUCAAAUAUGAUGGUGCAUGGGGAAGCCAUAUGUAAUCUGGAAGACAAUUUAGGCACAACUACUCAGUCUGGAGUCGAGGGAGAGAGGACUUGGGAAGCCGGUCUGACCCCAACGGAUACCUCUACUCGACUGACCGGUCAACAGACGGAGUGCCUUUUACUUAACACUCAGCAUCAGGGACGUGUAUUACACGGACUGCAAAUACACGGACUGCCAUUGUCCCAUUUUCCCAGAGCGGGCUUGAGGUCAGGUAUGUGUGAUUCUUUGGAGUAAAUGUGUCAUAAACUAAAACAUAAUAAUUAUGUGCACAUGUAUACAGUUCAGCCCCAAGAGAUGCGAUGCAGCUGAACUUACGCUUUCAAGGGCAGUUGGAGCAAAGUGACCUCAAACUAGGAAUUAAGAUGCACAGAAGGUCUUUGACUGCAUUUACGUAGUAUGCCUCAAACUGCUCUAUUCAGUCACAUCUAUGGCUCUGAUUCAAAUUGCAAAUUAUCUCAAUAAAUACCUGGCUACACUGGGGAAGCA
RNAcentral lists this long non-coding RNA (572 nucleotides) under Felis catus (domestic cat). RNAcentral's name for it is "lncRNA (ENSFCAG00000041045.2)". The record is from RNAcentral. Lineage: Eukaryota; Metazoa; Chordata; Mammalia; Carnivora; Felidae.